RNAcentral lists this ribosomal RNA (423 nucleotides) under Rhizobium sp. CL4.47. RNAcentral's name for it is "bacterial SSU rRNA". It matches the Rfam family "Bacterial small subunit ribosomal RNA", at positions 9 to 480 of the family's 1533-position model. Lineage: Bacteria; Pseudomonadati; Pseudomonadota; Alphaproteobacteria; Hyphomicrobiales; Rhizobiaceae. The record is from RNAcentral.
GAGCUUGAUCCUGGCUCAGAACGAACGCUGGCGGCAGGCUUAACACAUGCAAGUCGAGCGCCCCGCAAGGGGAGCGGCAGACGGGUGAGUAACGCGUGGGAAUCUACCCAUCUCUACGGAAUAACGCAUGGAAACGUGUGCUAAUACCGUAUGAGCCCUUCGGGGGAAAGAUUUAUCGGAGAUGGAUGAGCCCGCGUUGGAUUAGCUAGUUGGUGGGGUAAAGGCCUACCAAGGCGACGAUCCAUAGCUGGUCUGAGAGGAUGAUCAGCCACAUUGGGACUGAGACACGGCCCAAACUCCUACGGGAGGCAGCAGUGGGGAAUAUUGGACAAUGGGCGCAAGCCUGAUCCAGCCAUGCCGCGUGAGUGAUGAAGGCCUUAGGGUUGUAAAGCUCUUUCACCGGAGAAGAUAAUGACGGUAUCC